Molecule: long non-coding RNA, 1063 nt
Filed under: Volvox carteri
Lineage: Eukaryota; Viridiplantae; Chlorophyta; Chlorophyceae; Chlamydomonadales; Volvocaceae
Description: long non-coding RNA (VCAR_LNC001257)
Source: RNAcentral
GGCGGCGGAGGCGGCUGUGCCAGCCCAGGCGGGCUCGGACUGGAUCCAGGCAGCUGACCCGGCGGCGGAGGCGGCUGUGCCAGCGUAGGCGGGCUCGGACUGGAUCUCGGCAGCUGGCCCGGCGGCGGAGGCGGCUGUGCCAGCGUAGGCGGGCUCGGACUGGAUCCAGGCAGCUGGCCCGGCGGCGGAGGCGGCUGUGCCAGCGUAGGCGGGCUCGGACUGGAUCUAGGCAGCUGGCCCGGCGGCGGAGGCGGCUGUGCCAGCCCAGGCGGGCUCGGACUGGAUCCAGGCAGCUGGCCCGGCGGCGGAGGCGGCUGUGCCAGCCCAGGCGGGCUCGGACUGGAUCUAGGCAGCUGGCCCGGCGGCGGAGGCGGCUGUGCCAGCGUAAGCGGGCUCGGACUAGAUCCAGGCAGCUGGCCCGGCGCCGGAGGCGGCUGUGCUAGCCCAGGCGGGCUCGGACUGGAUCUAGGCAGCUGGCCCGGCGGCGGAGGCGGCUGUGCCAGCCCAGGCGGGCUCGGACUGGAUCCAGGCAGCUGACCCGGCGGCGGAGGCGGCUGUGCCAGCGUAGGCGGGCUCGGACUGGAUCCAGGCAGCUGGCCCGGCGGCGGAGGCGGCUGUGCCAGCCCAGGCGGGCUCGGACUGGAUCUAGGCAGCUGGCCCGGCGGCGGAGGCGGCUGUGCCAGCCCAGGUGGGCUCGGACUGGAUCCAGGCAGCUGGCCCGGCGGCGGAGGCGGCUGUGCCAGCCCAGGCGGGCUCGGACUGGAUCCAGGCAGCUGGCCCGGCGGCGGAGGCGGCUGUGCCAGCCCAGGCGGGCUCGGACUGGAUCUAGGCAGCUGGCCCGGCGGCGGAGGCGGCUGUGCCAGCGUAGGCGGGCUCGGACUAGAUCCAGGCAGCUGGCCCGGCGGCGGAGGCGGCUGUGCCAGCCCAGGCGGGCUCGGACUGGAUCUAGGCAGCUGGCCCGGCGGCGGAGGCGGCUGUGCCAGCCCAGGCGGGCUCGGACUGGAUCCAGGCAGCUGACCCGGCGGCGGAGGCGGCUGUGCCAGCGUAGGCGGGCUCGGACUGG